GCAGACAGAGGUUCUAUACAGAUUGAAAUAGAGCAACUUACAGACGAAAUUAAUAGAAUUGCUGAUCAAGCUCAAUAUAACCAAAUGCACAUGUUAUCAAACAAAUCUGCUUCUCAAAAUGUAAGAACAGCUGAAGAGCUUGGAAUGCAGCCUGCAAAAAUUAACACACCAGCAUCACUUUCGGAUCUCAAGCUUCUUGGACUUUAAGAGUUCAUGUGGGAGCAAAUCAAGAUGAAGCUAUUGCUGUAAAUAUUUAUGCAGCUAAUGUUGCAAAUCUUUUUUCUGGUGAGGGAGCUCAAACUGCUCAGGCUGCACCGGUUCAAGAAGGUGCUCAACAAGAAGGAGCUCAACAGCCAGCACCUNCAGCACCUUCACACGGAGUUAAUUCUCCUGUUAAUGUUACAACUACAGUUGAUGCUAAUACAUCACUUGCUAAAAUAGAAAAUGCUAUUAGAAUGAUAAGCGAUCAAAGAGCAAAUUUAGGUGCUUUCCAAAAUAGACUUGAAUCUAUAAAGAAUAGUACUGAGUAUGCAAUUAUCGACUUCAUUUUUCAUAUGGCAGGAAUUUUGUGGAAGAGCUUUUG
RNAcentral lists this unclassified non-coding RNA (583 nucleotides) under Borreliella burgdorferi (Lyme disease spirochete). RNAcentral describes it as "partial may contain 16S ribosomal RNA and 16S-23S ribosomal RNA intergenic spacer". Lineage: Bacteria; Pseudomonadati; Spirochaetota; Spirochaetia; Spirochaetales; Borreliaceae. The record is from RNAcentral.